This is a non-coding RNA of Cicer arietinum (chickpea), 122 nucleotides long. NCBI's taxonomy places the organism in Eukaryota, Viridiplantae, Streptophyta, Magnoliopsida, Fabales, Fabaceae. The record is from Rfam.
CGUCUGUGAUGAUAUCUUUAAGGCUUGUUUCUCAAAACAUUCGCAGUGGCCGCCCAAGAGCUUUCGCCUACGCCAGGCUUGAGAGCUAAUGCUGUUUUAUCCUUCCUUGGAUGUCUGAGACG